UCUCUCUCUCUCCUCUCUCUCUCCCUCUCUCUCUCCCUCUCUCUCUCUCUCUCUCUCUCUCUCAGUAUUUCUGAUCUUUUGUUGUUUUUCAGACUCUGUCGAUGUUUUCAGAUGUGAAGGAUUUUCUCUCCUGAUCCUGGUCUCUGCUCAGUCUGUGGUCUUAUGAAGGUAAGUCUGUGUGUGUGUGUGUGUGUGUGUGUGUGUGUGUGUGUGUGUGUGUGUGUGUGUGUGUGUGUGUGUGUGUGUGUGUGUGCGCGGGCAGGGGUCUUUGAGGAGUUGAAGAUUACCUCCGCUCACUAACGUCUCGGCGUCUGUCUGACACGGUGACCGUUGGACCUCAUUAAAGUCUGGAAAACAGCGUCUGACCUGAAAACUGGAUAAUAAACUCUGAUGUGAGCGAGAGAUAAACUCACCUGAGUGUCUGAGAGAGAAAAACACACCUGUGACUUAUGUAAGGAGACCAGACAGGAGCCACAACAUCAGGAACGACCCCUGACCCCUCCUCAUCAUCAC
This is a non-coding RNA of Xyrichtys novacula (pearly razorfish), 513 nucleotides long. Lineage: Eukaryota; Metazoa; Chordata; Actinopteri; Labriformes; Labridae. The record is from the annotation of a GenBank genome assembly.